RNAcentral lists this transfer RNA (69 nucleotides) under Marmota monax (woodchuck). Its description in RNAcentral is "tRNA.Ala". Lineage: Eukaryota; Metazoa; Chordata; Mammalia; Rodentia; Sciuridae. The record is from RNAcentral.
AUGUGGUGCAAGCGGUAGUGCGCUCGCCUGGCAUGCGUGCGGCCCGGGUUCGAUCCUCAGCACCACAUA